CAGAAAUGUUAGUGGUGGUUAUUUUGUUCUACACAGCACCAAGAAUGAGGGAACACUGCAUGAUUUUGGGUUGGGGGGAGGGAGCGUAUUUAAAUGCUGACCGCAGAGAACUUCACUGCAGGAUUGAGCAGGUUCUGGCUGGGGAUUUUUGUUUGCAAAGUACUGGUCACUCCAUGUCACUGGAUCAGUAUUUAGGAGGGUCUACGGGUAAGUACAGUACUAACUGUUUGAAACUGAAAAGGAUAAAUGAUUGGCCAGAAAAAAGGACACAUCACCUAUUCUCCAUGAUGUGAGGUAACUCUUUGUAAGUCUUAACAGCAGUUCUUGAUUCCAAAGAGAAAAUAAGUU
RNAcentral lists this long non-coding RNA (348 nucleotides) under Lepisosteus oculatus (spotted gar). RNAcentral's name for it is "lncRNA (ENSLOCG00000021288.1)". Lineage: Eukaryota; Metazoa; Chordata; Actinopteri; Semionotiformes; Lepisosteidae. The record is from RNAcentral.